AUUGAACGCUGGCGGAAUGCUUUACACAUGCAAGUCGAACGGCAGCACGGACUUCGGUCUGGUGGCGAGUGGCGAACGGGUGAGUAAUGUAUCGGAACGUGCCCAGUCGUGGGGGAUAACGUAGUGAAAAUUACGCUAAUACCGCAUACGAUCUAUGGAUGAAAGCGGGGGAUCGCAAGACCUCGCGCGAUUGGAGCGGCCGAUAUCAGAUUAGGUAGUUGGUGGGGUAAAGGCCCACCAAGCCAACGAUCUGUAGCUGGUCUGAGAGGACGACCAGCGACACUGGAGCUGAGACACGGUACAGACUCCUACGGGAGGCAGCAGUGGGGAAUUUUGGACAGUGGGCGAAAGCCUGAUCCAGGCAUUCCGCGUGCAGGAUGAAGGCCCUCGGGUUGUAAACUGCUUUUGUACAGAACGAAAAGGUUUCUACUAAUACUAGGAGCUCAUGACGGUACUGUAAGAAUAAGCACCGGCUAACUACGUGCCAGCCGCCGCCGUAA
Molecule: ribosomal RNA, 500 nt
Filed under: uncultured bacterium
Lineage: Bacteria
Description: partial 16S ribosomal RNA
Rfam family: Bacterial small subunit ribosomal RNA
Source: RNAcentral